GUCGUAAUUGUAAUUAAGUUUCUUUAAGUAUGCUAUUUUAUUACCUGGAGACUGAAUUAUGACAUUUGAAAAUUAGGUCGCCUAGUUUGAGUUUUUCUUUUUAUUAACUAAAAAAGAAAUUAUAACUAAAUUGCUUAUUGUUGUCAAUUUCAAUUUCAUAUAUUUUUCUCGUAUUAGGAUUUUUGGGAGUCUUUAGUAUUCAUAUUCCAGUUUCUUCUUCAGUUGUUGAUAGUCAUUUUUGUUUUUUGUUCAUCUGUGUAGGAAUUUAUAUCAUUAACCUUGGAAAGCUUAUGAUGGCCGCAAGGGUUAUUGUUACCAUUGAGAAUCUCAAGACAUCAUCGUUCAGUCUGCCAGACCAUAUGGUCAGAGAGCUGUCUUGAAGUUCGCACAGCACAGUAGUGCUCAUGCAGUUGCUGGUCGUCAUACUCCUGGAACAUUCACCAACCAGCUUCAGACUUCAUUCAGUGAGCCACGCAUUCUGAUCCAUGCAGACCCGAGAAUUGAUCAUCAAGUCAGCACUCAAGUAUACCUGGUGCAAUGCUCUUUGGAUUAAUCUCAAAUUAUUGAUUGGAAUGUGGGAUUGCUUUUGUUAUGUUAUCUUCUCUGCAGCCUAUUAAUGAAGCUGCACUUUCUAGCAUCCCCGCCAUUGAUUUCUGUGACAUGAUUUCCCAAUGAAGUAUGAUGUUGAUAUUGGCAUCCCUACCAACAAGGGAAAGCACAACAGCGGUUGUCUUUUCUGGCUCUUGGAAAGGAUGGCUGCAAAUGUGUGGUGACAUUGCUCCCAGCCACAAGGGGAAGCACAACAUUGGUUUUGUGGAACUCUUAAGUUCGCUUCUCCCUUUUCUUAUUAUGCCUUGUUUGAGCCCCAUUUUUUCAACCAAAAUAUAUUUUUUAACAGUGAUUUAACAUCAUUUCAACCACAUAUUCUUUAAUAAAAUAAUAUAAUAUGCAAAUAAAAAACUUUUUCUUAUUUUUUAACCACACAUUUCCAUCAUUACACUAUUCAAAAAUUCAUUUUCUUCACAACAAUGGGGCUCAAACAAUGGCAUUGGAUACGCGAUAAAUUUUUUUAAUGCUUUGACAAAUCGUAGGAUUCAACCUUUAUUAUUAUUAUUAUUUGCUACAUGCAAAAGAUAUGGUUUAUCAAAAUGUAAUCUGUGUAACUUUUUUAAUAUGUCAUUCUUUUUAAAUUUCC
RNAcentral lists this long non-coding RNA (1195 nucleotides) under Olea europaea subsp. europaea. Lineage: Eukaryota; Viridiplantae; Streptophyta; Magnoliopsida; Lamiales; Oleaceae. The record is from RNAcentral.